This 274-nucleotide ribosomal RNA is filed under the name uncultured bacterium. RNAcentral describes it as "partial 16S ribosomal RNA". It matches the Rfam family "Bacterial small subunit ribosomal RNA", at positions 523 to 796 of the family's 1533-position model. The record is from RNAcentral.
AUACGGAGGGUGCAAGCGUUACUCGGAAUCACUGGGCGUAAAGCGCGCGCAGGCGGUCUUUUAAGUUGGAUGUGAAAGCCUACGGCUCAACCGUAAAACUGCAUCCAAAACUAUUAGACUAGAGUGUGGGAGAGGAAGAUGGAAUUAGUUGUGUAGGGGUAAAAUCCGUAGAGAUAACUAGGAAUACCAAAAGCGAAGGCAAUCUUCUGGAACACUACUGACGCUGAGGCGCGAAAGCGUGGGGAGCAAACAGGAUUAGAAACCCUAGUAGUCC